UACGUAGGGUGCGAGCGUUAAUCGGAAUUACUGGGCGUAAAGCGUGCGCAGGCGGCUUCGCAAGUCAGGCGUGAAAUCCCCGGGCUUGACCUGGGAAUGGCGUCUGAAACUACGGAGCUGGAGUGUGGCAGAGGGAGGUAGAAUUCCACGUGUAGCGGUGAAAUGCGUAGAUAUGUGGAGGAAUACCGAUGGCGAAGGCAGCCUCCUGGGCCAACACUGACGCUCAUGCACGAAAGCGUGGGGAGCAAACAGG
This 253-nucleotide ribosomal RNA is filed under the name uncultured bacterium. Its description in RNAcentral is "partial 16S ribosomal RNA". It matches the Rfam family "Bacterial small subunit ribosomal RNA", at positions 524 to 776 of the family's 1533-position model. The record is from RNAcentral.